This 459-nucleotide ribosomal RNA is filed under the name uncultured bacterium. Its description in RNAcentral is "partial 16S ribosomal RNA". It matches the Rfam family "Bacterial small subunit ribosomal RNA", at positions 338 to 795 of the family's 1533-position model. The record is from RNAcentral.
CCUACGGGUGGCAGCAGUGAGGAAUAUUGGUCAAUGGGCGCGAGCCUGAACCAGCCAAGUCGCGUGAGGGAAGACGGUCCUAUGGAUUGUAAACCUCUUUUGUCGGGGAGCAAAAGACGCCACGCGUGGCGUUCCGAGAGUACCCGAAGAAAAAGCAUCGGCUAACUCCCUGCCAGCAGCCGCGGUAAUACGGAGGAUGCGAGCGUUAUCCGGAUUUAUUGGGUUUAAAGGGUGCGCAGGCGGACGAUCAAGUCCGCGGUAAAACUGAGAGGCUCAACCUCUUCGAGCCGUUGAAACUGGUUGUCUUGAGUGAGUGAGAAGUAUGCGGAAUGCGUGGUGUAGCGGUGAAAUGCAUAGAUAUCACGCAGAACUCCGAUUGCGAAGGCAGCAUACCGGCGCUCAACUGACGCUGAUGCACGAAAGUGUGGGUAUCGAACAGGACUAGAUACCCUAGUAGUC